CUGGCGGCGUGCCUAACACAUGCAAGUCGAACGAGAACGGGUAUUAGUUUACUAAUACUGUCAGCUAAGUGGCGCACGGGUGAGUAAUAUAUAGUUAAUCUGCCCCAAAGAAGAGAAUAAUUGUUGGAAACGACUUGUAAUGCUCUAUAUGCCUUUAUCACAUAAGUGAGCAAGGGAAAUAUUUAUAGCUUUGGGAUGAGACUGUACGGUAUCAGAUAGUUGGUGAGGUAAUGGCUCACCAAGUCUAUGACGCCUAACUGGUUUGAGAGGAUGAUCAGUCACACUGGAACUGAGACACGGUCCAGACUCCUACGGGAGGCAGCAGUGGGGAAUAUUGCACAAUGGAGGAAACUCUGAUGCAGCAACGCCGCGUGGAGGAUGACACAUUUCGGUGCGUAAACUCCUUUUAUUAGGGAAGAUAAUGACGGUACCUAAUGAAUAAGCACCGGCUAACUCCGUGCCAGCAGCCGCGGUAAUACGGGGGGUGCAAGCGUUACUCGGAAUCACUGGGCGUAAAGAGCAUGUAGGCUGGUUUGUAAGUUGGAAGUGAAAUCCUAUGGCUUAACCAUAGAACUGCUUCCAAAACUGCAGACCUAGAGUAUGGGAGAGGUAGAUGGAAUUUCUGGUGUAGGGGUAAAAUCCGUAGAGAUCAGAAGGAAUACCGAUUGCGAAGGCGAUCUACUGGAACAUUACUGACGCUGAGAUGCGAAAGCGUGGGGAGCAAACAGGAUUAGAUACCCUGGUAGUCCACGCCCUAAACGAUGCACACUAGUUGUUGCUAUGCUAGACAUAGCAGUAAUGCAGUUAACACAGUAAG
This 817-nucleotide ribosomal RNA is filed under the name uncultured Campylobacterales bacterium. Its description in RNAcentral is "bacterial SSU rRNA". It matches the Rfam family "Bacterial small subunit ribosomal RNA", at positions 36 to 864 of the family's 1533-position model. The record is from RNAcentral. Lineage: Bacteria; Pseudomonadati; Campylobacterota; Epsilonproteobacteria; Campylobacterales.